This 77-nucleotide transfer RNA is filed under the name Rickettsiales bacterium. RNAcentral's name for it is "tRNA-Arg". It matches the Rfam family "tRNA". From Rfam's summary of the family: Transfer RNA (tRNA) molecules are approximately 80 nucleotides in length. Their secondary structure includes four short double-helical elements and three loops (D, anti-codon, and T loops). The record is from RNAcentral. Lineage: Bacteria; Pseudomonadati; Pseudomonadota; Alphaproteobacteria; Rickettsiales.
GUACCCGUAGCUUAAUUGGAUAGAGUAUCAGCUUGCGAAGUUGACGGUUGGAGGUUCAAAUCCUCUCGGGUACGCCA